Molecule: long non-coding RNA, 3074 nt
Organism: Pangasianodon hypophthalmus (striped catfish)
Lineage: Eukaryota; Metazoa; Chordata; Actinopteri; Siluriformes; Pangasiidae
Exons: 3
Source: RefSeq, a predicted model, not a curated record
CUUGUGCAUUGAUGUGUGCGGUUUUGUGGAUACAGCUCUGGGUGCUUGGUUACUGGGAGAAUGGACAGAGGCCCAGUGCCAGAACAUCUGGAGACAGGAAUCGAAUUCGGCCAAGAGUUACUGGCCAGUGAAUGGGGGAUAUCAAUUUGAUCUGGUGCCCUGGGAAAGUGGAACACCAUGCUUCUCCUCUGCUACAUGUAGCCAUUGAUCAAUCUUUAAACAUUAAACUAAUGUCCAUGAUGCACACUGGCAAUUUAAUGAUCAAGAUCCUCUGUGAUGACAUGAUGCCAUCAAUCUUCACAAGACCUCCUGAACCACCAGCCACAAAAUGGCCCCAAAACAGCAAAGAUCCACCUCUACAUUUUACAGUGGGGUAUCAUGCACUUUACCUUGUAUGGAGUCCCCUUGUGUUACAAAACAUGCUGAUGGUGUGCAUGACUAAUAACUUUCAAUUUAGUCUCAUCUGACCACAACACACAACUGUAGUUCUAAUGACACUUUGUAGUUCAGGCACAACAAUUUUGGGAGAUGGGAAAGGAAGAACUUUCUUGCAAUAGAUCCAAACAGCUUGUUGUUAUGGAAGUGUUGUUUUACAGUUGACUCGGGGAAAUAGUGAGGAUCCAUGCACAGAACUUUUAUUACUAACACAAUCUAGAUUCCAUGAAAUUUUGUCAUCAAGCAGUUCCAGGUCAUAUUUUGGGUGCAAGGAAGGUCCAUUCGUAUUAUGGGUGCAAGGUCACAGGCAGAGAUCGAUACACGAUGGUACAAACGAGAGAAAUUGAGAAACUGGGGUGGUCUGUGUUUUCCUUGUGGAAGUCAUUGAUGAGAGCAGGGUCAAGAAUGUCCCUGGCAGGACCUACCCUCUUGGCUAUAGUCCUCCCAGUCCACCAGGUAGUACAUUACAUUGCCCCAUUACUUGGAGUGAUGUUGCUCGCGGACACUGUAUGCAGGUGUUCCCUUGACCGUCACAGGCAGUGGUGGCUGAACUCCAGUUACCAGGUUUUGGGUAGAUGGAAAAUAUGGUUUAAGCAGAGAGGCAUUGUAGGUAGAGACAAUUCUGUAUGUAGGUGGCAUAUCAAGCAUAUAAGAAACUGGGUUUAUUUGUCUAAGAAUGAAAAAGGGAGCGAUGAAAUGCAGAUUUAACUCUUGAGAUGGGAGUUUCUGUUUCAGAUCACGGAUAGCCAGACCAUCUGCUUGGGUUGUAGUGGUGGGUGUGGCUGAUGAUUUUAGUCUGCUUAAUAUUGAAAAUACCUCUUUAAAGAUGCCUUUGGAAAAGGGCCCAAUCAACAAGCUUUAGAAAAUUGGUCUACUAUGGUUAGAAUGGUGGUGUUACCUUGUGAGACCGGGAGCUCAAUAAUAAUCAACUGCAAUAUGCGACCAGGGUCUUCACGGGAUUGGCAGAAGUUCUAGGAGUUCCAGUGAAUGACAUUCCCUAGAAUGGCCUCUGGUACAUAAACAUUCUCUGGUGGGCACUCAGAUGGAGUAGGAUCAUUAUUUUGGACUCCCCUGCCCUCCAUGACACAUGUUGUGCCACAGCAGUGACACAUGUUUCUGGUAAUAUAUAGGGUUUUCUGGAUACAGCAUUAGGAUAGAGCAUCUGCUUUUACAUUGUUGUAUCCAGGUCUAUAGGUCAAGAUGAAAUUGAAACAAGUGAAAAAAACAUGCCCAUCUAGAUUGAUGUGGAUUGAGGCACUUUGCAGACUUAUUCAAUAUUUCAUUGAUUGGUCAGGAUGAGAAAUGUGUGUUCAGCUGCUUCUAGUCAGUGCCUCCAUUCCUCCAAGGUGGCCUUUAUGGUUAGCAGCUCAUGGUUUCCUACAUCGUAAUUUUUUUCUGCUGGGGUUAGCUUAAGUGAGUAAAAGUUACAAGGAUAUAACUUGGCUGGAUUACCAUGACAUUAUGAGAAGACAGCUAUGAUGCCAGUUUCACAUACAUCAACUUUGACUACGAAUGGGACUGAGGGGUUUGGGUGACAAAGAAUGGGGAGCUGGUCAAUUGUUGAAUGGCUUGUUGGUGGCUUCACUGGACCACUUCAUGGUUCUGGGUGACAGUAGAAAUUCAUGAAUUUGCUGAUUUAGGAUGUAGCCUAAAAACAUGAAAGAUAGUUGGUGAAAUGAACAUUUUCCAGCUUUGUUUUCCAAGAGCAUACUGAGGACCUGAUAUACAUGCUGAAUAUGUUCUUUCACUUAUGAUAAGCUCAGUAACUUGUAAACGUACACAAUGGAAAUCUAUUCAAGCACUCUCUCAGAAUUUUAUUAACAAAACCUUGGAAUACUAAAGGAGUAUUUCCUAGGCCAUAUGGCAUCACAAGAUAUUCAUAAUGGCUGGAGGUGGUGAUGAAGGUGAUUUUCCGUUCAUUGUCUUCUCUGAUACGUAUUAGCUUAUGUGCACUUUGAAGUUCCAAUUUGGGAAAAAUUCUAGCUCCUCUUACCUGUUUGAGGGCAGAAGGGACAGGAGACAGUACUUGACAGUAACUGCAGUGAGACCUGGGUAAUCAAUACAAGGUUUUAGCUUGUCAUCUUUCUUUUCCACAAAGAAGAAACCUGCCACUGUGGGAAACAUGGAUGGUCUAAUACAGCUUUGGCUGAUUGCUUCCUUGAUGUACAGUAGUCAUGAAAAGUCCACACACCUCUGUUGAAAUUGCAGGUUUUUGUGAUGAAAAUGAAAAAAAUUAAACCAACAUAAAUCAUAUCAAAUUGUUUCCACCUUUAAUGUGAUCUAACAACCAACAAAAUUCAUGUGAAAAACAAAUAGUAACAUUUUAGGAGGGGGGAAAAAAGAAAAAAAUGCACAAUAACUUCAUUGCAUAAGUGUGCACUCCCUUUUAUAAUGGGGCAUGUGACUGUGCUCAAUCCAAAACAAGAGAAAUUUAGAAACUAGGCAAGGUCAUACAUGGAAUGGAUGUCAAGCACAAAAGGCUCAGAGCUUACACAAGAGUAAACUGUUGGCAAGGCUUUGUGUCCAUGUGGUUUAAAUACUCUACAAGCAGGAAAUAGAAUGAACGAAUGAUGAGUUUUUAGGACCCAGGGGAGGUUGCCCUCUAGUGGCGUGGUGGAGAACUGACCGUGACGGAUGUG